RNAcentral lists this ribosomal RNA (497 nucleotides) under uncultured bacterium. Its description in RNAcentral is "partial 16S ribosomal RNA". It matches the Rfam family "Bacterial small subunit ribosomal RNA", at positions 28 to 507 of the family's 1533-position model. The record is from RNAcentral.
GAUGAACGCUGGCGGCGUGCCUAAUACAUGCAAGUCGAGCGAACGGACGAGAAGCUUGCUUCUCUGAUGUUAGCGGCGGACGGGUGAGUAACACGUGGAUAACCUACCUAUAAGACUGGGAUAACUUCGGGAAACCGGAGCUAAUACCGGAUAAUAUUUUGAACCGCAUGGUUCAAAAGUGAAAGACGGUCUUGCUGUCACUUAUAGAUGGAUCCGCGCUGCAUUAGCUAGUUGGUAAGGUAACGGCUUACCAAGGCAACGAUGCAUAGCCGACCUGAGAGGGUGAUCGGCCACACUGGAACUGAGACACGGUCCAGACUCCUACGGGAGGCAGCAGUAGGGAAUAUUCCGCAAUGGGCGAAAGCAUGACGGAGCAACGCCGCGUGAGUGAUGAAGGUCUUCGGAUCGUAAAACUCUGUUAUUAGGGAAGAACAUAUGUGUAAGUAACUGUGCACAUCUUGACGGUACCUAAUCAGAAAGCCACGGCUAACUACGUG